UACGUAGGGUGCGAGCGUUAAUCGGAAUUACUGGGCGUAAAGCGUGCGCAGGCGGUUAUGUAAGACAGUUGUGAAAUCCCCGGGCUCAACCUGGGAAUUGCAUCUGUGACUGCAUAGCUAGAGUACGGUAGAGGGGGAUGGAAUUCCGCGUGUAGCAGUGAAAUGCGUAGAUAUGCGGAGGAACACCGAUGGCGAAGGCAAUCCCCUGGACCUGUACUGACGCUCAUGCACGAAAGCGUGGGGAGCAAAC
RNAcentral lists this ribosomal RNA (250 nucleotides) under uncultured bacterium. Its description in RNAcentral is "partial 16S ribosomal RNA". It matches the Rfam family "Bacterial small subunit ribosomal RNA", at positions 524 to 773 of the family's 1533-position model. The record is from RNAcentral.